Long non-coding RNA from Arabidopsis lyrata subsp. lyrata, 382 nucleotides. RefSeq lists it as uncharacterized. The record is from RefSeq and is a predicted model, not a curated record. NCBI's taxonomy places the organism in Eukaryota, Viridiplantae, Streptophyta, Magnoliopsida, Brassicales, Brassicaceae. The transcript is spliced from 2 exons.
CAUAUAUAUAUUUGAUUACUUUACAUGUAAGGUUUUCUACCAUAAAACAAUAAAACGAUUCUUUAAAGAAAAAAAUUACGAUGUCGCCAUCAAAAAUUGCGGUAGUUUGUAUCAUCCUCAUUUCACUCGCUAAUCUUCAUGAAUGCAAUUUUUCCAAAGAUGACAAGCCAUUGACAAAUCAUAGCACAAGAAGAAAGGUAUAACCACCAUGCAAACCACGAGGAGAUCAUUUCGUCUGCACAAACAUUCAAGACCUGAUAGUAUAUACCAUCGAAGGAUGCUGGAAUUAGUACUGUCAAACAAACUAAUUAACUAAUAAAUUUGAAGAGAAUUUAUAUACCAAUUUUUUCCUUAUAAUAAAAAAUAGUAAAUUUUCAUGUGA